CUCCUUCAACAACACCGCAACAAAUCCCAGCCAUUCGAAAUCACAAAACAAAACAAAUCUCAAAAAUUUCAAUCACCAACUAUUAAUUUAUAAUUGUUGAUAAAGAUCUACGUAUGAAAUGAAAUUAAGCACAAAAUUGAAUUGAUCCUUAGGAUGUUUAUGAACUAUGAAGAAAAGAAGUGAAACUUUAAUAUAAGGAGGCACGUGGGGGCCACAAUAAAAAACGGGCAGGCUGCCCGUCACGGGCAUCAUUAGACACGUAUAUUGGUAUGACGUACUAACAUGCGAUCUCAACCAUCUAUUACAUCAGUUAGAUUAAUAUUUAAACACGUGGUGAGGUGUUUAUGUAUUGAUAUUGCGUGGACCAAUAAGAACUCACCACGCUCUCUCUCACGAAUUGAAUUCAAUUUAAUUCCACCUUUGAUUGAGUCCUUCACUCUAUUACUCUUCUUAGCAAAAUGUUUCCUUCUUUUCUUUUAUUGUUGUACCCUCUUUUUUCGAUCUCAAAGACACUCUCGUUCGAAGGAUAUUACCACGUGGCGGCAUCGUGAAAUAAGAGAUUCUUGUUUUGAUUCUGAGACCACGUCCUCUAUCAUAAAAUGCAAAUUACACGCACCAUGUCCCCUCCUUCAUUAUCUCUCAUUCAUCACACUUCAUUUUCUCACACCAAAACGCUUGAAUAUUAUUAUGUUGUUAUACACUAUUAAAUUAAUUCAUAUCUUUUAAGACAGAUGUUGAUAUUAGUAAAGUUAAAUUUCAAUGUAGAUAAUAUUAUGUAUUGAGAUGAAUGAAUCAACAUUAUAAAAUAGAAGUUCAUGAAUGACGGGAGAAAGGGGGCUUGAAGGAAGAAAAUGACUGUUAGAUACUUACAUGUUGAAUUUUUGUUCAGUAAGGACCGGAUCUGUAGUUUUUUACUGAAUAGAAUUUAAGGAUUUCUUAUGUACUACAAGUUAAUUUUCUCAAAAUUUCAAUAUUGAACAAUUCGAG
RNAcentral lists this long non-coding RNA (987 nucleotides) under Lupinus mutabilis. RNAcentral's name for it is "partial ncRNA". The record is from RNAcentral. Lineage: Eukaryota; Viridiplantae; Streptophyta; Magnoliopsida; Fabales; Fabaceae.